GAGUUUGAUCGUGGCUCAGGACGAACGCUGGCGGCGUGCUUAACACAUGCAAGUCGAACGGGGUGCCUAUGAAAGGGAUUUCGGUCAAUGGAUUAGGUUACUUAGUGGCGGACGGGUGAGUAACGCGUGAGGAACCUGCCUUUCAGAGGGGGACAACAGCUGGAAACGGCUGCUAAUACCGCAUGACACAUAUUUAUCGCAUGGUAGAUAUGUCAAAGAUUUAUCGCUGAGAGAUGGCCUCGCGUCUGAUUAGCUAGUUGGUAGGGUAACGGCCUACCAAGGCGACGAUCAGUAGCCGGACUGAGAGGUUGGCCGGCCGACAUUGGGACUGAGAUACGGCCCAGACUCCUACGGGAGGCGAGCAGUGGGGAAUAUUGGGCAAUGGGCGCAAGCCUGACCCAGCAACGCCGCGUGAAGGAGAAGGCUUUC
This 429-nucleotide ribosomal RNA is filed under the name uncultured microorganism. RNAcentral describes it as "bacterial SSU rRNA". It matches the Rfam family "Bacterial small subunit ribosomal RNA", at positions 9 to 419 of the family's 1533-position model. The record is from RNAcentral.